Molecule: long non-coding RNA, 1021 nt
Organism: Plutella xylostella (diamondback moth)
Lineage: Eukaryota; Metazoa; Arthropoda; Insecta; Lepidoptera; Plutellidae
Source: RefSeq, a predicted model, not a curated record
GGGCGCGAUUCACAUCUCAACCGAAAUAUUUGUAAAGCGAUACGAACGAGUUACGAGAUGAAAUCCGCAAUGUUCAAAAACGCGAUUCAUAACACACAUACUUUGAUCUCGUUUUCAUAUCGCUAGUUCGUAUUGGGAUGGCUUGAGUGAAAUGAAUGAAACUAUAUUUUUUUAAUUGCCAUGCAAAAAUUAUAAAUACUACCACUAAUUGUUUUAAAUAAUUUUGUUCCUACAAUAUAUUUUGUUGGAAUUAGUGUCGAUAGCAAGUAUCAAGAAACGGCUUUUUAAUUCAACGUUGAAGAAAUUCAUAACCCGUGGCACUUUUGACAGCCGCCAUGUUUUCUACAUAAAAACAUUGAUUUUCUUUGCUCAUUUUCGUAUCAACGUAGUUUUUUUGGAAAAUAAGAAGAAAGGAAGUUUAACUAACUUAGAGAAAUACGACUGAGACAUAAUCAUGAACGAGAUGAACACAAGCAGCAGCCGAUGUGCUUGAGUUGCAGAUGGAGCAAGUGCGUUAUGAGAGGGCCACGGCUUCAGCCCUCACAAUGAAUAGCUGAAGCAAUGAACAGACAGGCUGCAGUCAAUGAGAGGCUUCUUGAGCAGGGGCUCCUCAUAUGGAAAAAGGCUAAUGAAAGGAACAAUCAAGACUGGCGGUGCGCGGGAGGAUCCCGUCCCUGCGCCUGGCCUUCAAUGGCCUCACGCCUCUCUUCUUCCUCUUCUUCAUGCGUCAAUUCAAACAGAGGAGCACCUGUGAUUACUGAUUACCUAAGUUCCUAUAUACAAUAAUAGUUUAAUAAUUGUUAACAAAAUAUUGUAUUAUAUAAGUAUUAAUAACUAUACACAAGGCUAAAAGCAUUUUGUAACAGUCAACCUAUAAGAGAGAAUAUGAGAAAAAAUAAGACAAUUUAAUCUUUGAUUGCCAUUAUCUGUAGCUUUAUUAAGUGGUAAAGGGACCUAAUAUAUGUAUUUGUGAUAAUUCAUAGAAUUUAUUAGUUCUAUCAAUAAAUAAAAUAGACAUGCA